This is a non-coding RNA of Podarcis lilfordi (Lilford's wall lizard), 74 nucleotides long. The record is from the annotation of a GenBank genome assembly. NCBI's taxonomy places the organism in Eukaryota, Metazoa, Chordata, Lepidosauria, Squamata, Lacertidae.
AGGGAUGUAGCUCCGUGAUAAGAGUAUCUUCUUUGCAUGCAAAAGGUCCCAGGUUCGAAUCCCCGGCAUCUCCA